UGGUGGAGUGAUUUGUCUGGUUAAUUCCGAUAACGAACGAGACUCUAGCCUACUAACCAGUGAGCAGAUCAUCUCGUCUGUUCCACUUCUUAGAGGGACAAGCGGUUUUUUAGCCGCACGAAAUUGAGCAAUAACA
RNAcentral lists this ribosomal RNA (136 nucleotides) under uncultured eukaryote. Its description in RNAcentral is "partial 18S ribosomal RNA". It matches the Rfam family "Eukaryotic small subunit ribosomal RNA", at positions 1299 to 1458 of the family's 1831-position model. The record is from RNAcentral.